This 447-nucleotide ribosomal RNA is filed under the name Bacteroides ovatus. Its description in RNAcentral is "partial 16S ribosomal RNA". It matches the Rfam family "Bacterial small subunit ribosomal RNA", at positions 1 to 378 of the family's 1533-position model. Lineage: Bacteria; Pseudomonadati; Bacteroidota; Bacteroidia; Bacteroidales; Bacteroidaceae. The record is from RNAcentral.
CUUUUACAAUGAAGAGUUUGAUCCUGGCUCAGGAUGAACGCUAGCUACAGGCUUAACACAUGCAAGUCGAGGGGCAGCAUUUUAGUUUGCUUGCAAACUGAAGAUGGCGACCGGCGCACGGGUGAGUAACACGUAUCCAACCUGCCGAUAACUCCGGAAUAGCCUUUCGAAAGAAAGAUUAAUACCGGAUAGUAUACGAANNNNNNNNNNGGAAUAGCCUUUCGAAAGAAAGAUUAAUACCGGAUAGUAUACGAAUAUCGCAUGAUAUUUUUAUUAAAGAAUUUCGGUUAUCGAUGGGGAUGCGUUCCAUUAGUUUGUUGGCGGGGUAACGGCCCACCAAGACUACGAUGGAUAGGGGUUCUGAGAGGAAGGUCCCCCACAUUGGAACUGAGACACGGUCCAAACUCCUACGGGAGGCAGCAGUGAGGAAUAUUGGUCAAUGGGCGA